Molecule: transfer RNA, 74 nt
Filed under: Phycisphaerales bacterium
Lineage: Bacteria; Pseudomonadati; Planctomycetota; Phycisphaerae; Phycisphaerales
Description: tRNA-Ile
Rfam family: tRNA
About the family: Transfer RNA (tRNA) molecules are approximately 80 nucleotides in length. Their secondary structure includes four short double-helical elements and three loops (D, anti-codon, and T loops).
Source: RNAcentral
GGGGCCGUAGUUUAGCGGUAAAAACCCCCGACUCAUAAUCGGAGAGAUCGUCGGUUCGAAUCCGACCGGCCCCA